This 473-nucleotide long non-coding RNA is filed under the name Felis catus (domestic cat). RNAcentral describes it as "lncRNA (ENSFCAG00000041198.2)". Lineage: Eukaryota; Metazoa; Chordata; Mammalia; Carnivora; Felidae. The record is from RNAcentral.
AGAUUGUGCACAUAAUAUGGUCAGAAAUACCAAAUCUUUACUGUAUUCUUUCUGUCUGCUCACUUCUGUGCCAGGUGACUGACAGAUGCAUGCACGACUCUGUCCCUGCUGUUGGCAAACUCCAAAUAGAGCUGGGAGAGCAGAGAAUCUUCUGAGAGGUCCUUUCUGGGAGAGGAAUAAUCAAACAACUCGAAAUUCAAGGAAUACAAAAGAAUUACACAAAAUCAAGCCCACCUUGGCUCAGAUUCUAGUAUAUGCAGGGAUCAGAACUGUCCAGAAUGCGUGCUGACACUCUUCCUUCUGAUCAUCACUAAUCAACCUCAGUAUCAUCUCCAACUGAGCCCAAGUCAGACCUCGGACUUCCUCUCGACACAGAGCCUGGAUGGCACCAUUCACUGGAGUCAGCUCAUGAGAGGUAACUUAUUUGCCAUCUCUGUUUUAAAGACUCAGUAUCAUACUACCAUCACCCUACA